UUUCCGAUAGCCUAAGAAGGGCAAAACGUUGAAGCCGUUUAGGUGGGAUUAACUUCCCUCGGGGAG
RNAcentral lists this transfer RNA (66 nucleotides) under Bryopa lata. RNAcentral's name for it is "tRNA-Phe". The record is from RNAcentral. Lineage: Eukaryota; Metazoa; Mollusca; Bivalvia; Clavagellidae.